CAUUGAUCAAAGUUACAGGUACAUUUAUUUUCAAUAAUAUAAUAUAUAUGUGUGCGCGCACGUAUUUAUGCUACCAUGUAACUAGAUAGGUUAAAUUUUCUUAGAAUUGAGUUUUAGGCCUAACUCAAUGGACUCUAGUUUAUAAACACUUAGUCAGAUCAUAUCACAACUGAUGCGUGACUUCUUAACACCCCCGCUCGCGCCAAGCGCUAUGGGCUUGAGGCGCGGAUAUGAAUGGUGGAGGGCCCAAUCAGAAACUUGAUUGCAGGCGGCCCG
This 276-nucleotide long non-coding RNA is filed under the name Trifolium pratense (red clover). Its description in RNAcentral is "long non-coding RNA (TPRA_LNC004498)". Lineage: Eukaryota; Viridiplantae; Streptophyta; Magnoliopsida; Fabales; Fabaceae. The record is from RNAcentral.